Rattus norvegicus (Norway rat) is the source of this 2266-nucleotide non-coding RNA. The record is from RefSeq and is a predicted model, not a curated record. Lineage: Eukaryota; Metazoa; Chordata; Mammalia; Rodentia; Muridae.
GAGAAACAUAUUCGAGGAUUUUAUUUUAAAAAGGAAAACAUUUUUUAUGCUCUGCACAAAUGCAGAAAUGAAUCCAUCAUGAGAUUUCACCUAACUUAUUAACGAAGAAGCCGAUAAGAAAUUGAAACCUGUAAGGUACAAUACCACAAACGCCCAUCAGUCACUGCAUGGAAGUCAGUUGAGUACGUCAGCAAUAAUUACUUCUCAAGGCUAUCAUCCGUCUGGAGCUUCGAAAGCGGUAAAGUAACUCCCGCGGACUUGGCCUCAGCCAGAGAGGGUGUGUUCUCCUAGCACUGCCGAAUUUUUUCCUCCACCUAACAGUUAUCACUCAAGCUCUAGACAUUGAGUAAGCAGACCGUCUUAGGUGGACAUAUCCCGAACCUCUUGAAAUGAAACUUCACCAUUUCAUUUCAAUUUCUGUGCCGACGGAAUGUGUUUGGCUCACUGACGAUGGGAAGGAAGUGGCUUCAUGGGUACACACUUCAUAAAUCAAUCUGAAACACCAGUUGCACGCCUCGCCUCUAUUUUCUCAUCUGCCUCAAGAGACGGCCUUGAACUAGACAUAUCAGACAGACAGACAGACAGACAGAGACACACAGAGAGACAAAGACACAGAGGCAGAGAGAGACUGUGGGGUCAGCAGUCCAGCCUUCUGGGGAUGAAGGGGGCGCUAAUUAUUGGGCUUAGCUGUCAAGGUUGCGGCUAGAUUUAAUCAGACAAAGAUUGUGAAACCGCUUUGGAACUAGUGGCUCUCAAGUUCAUGGCUAAGGAAAAUAACAGGCCUCUGGGCCUCGGAAGCAGCCGCUGAGUUUGCCCGCGCGCUCAGUGCGGCUCCUCCCCCGGCCCCUCCGGGAGGCGGAGGCCGUGCACGCCGGCCCUCCCCAGCCCGCGGCCCGCCUAGGUGAAUGUAGUCUUGCAGGGGGUGCCCGGGCGCUCAGUUCCCGAUUCUGCCGGGGGCGCGGGCAGCUCAGGCUCCUCAGGCUGCUAAGGAUGGGCGAGCUGAGCGGAUGCACCGGCGGGAGCCGAGCUGGAGGUCCGGGGCCGCGGCUGCCACUGUUGCUGCUGCUGCUGCUGUGGCCCGCCCGGGCCUCCGACGCCGCCCCGCCGCCCCAUGUGGUCUUCGUGCUGGCGGACGACCUGGGCUGGAACGACUUGGGUUUCCACGGCUCGGUCAUCCGCACGCCGCACCUGGAUGCGCUGGCGGCCGGCGGCGUGGUCCUGGACAACUACUACGUGCAGCCGCUGUGCACGCCCUCGCGGAGCCAGCUGCUCACCGGCCGCUAUCAGAUCCAUAUGGGCUUACAGCAUUACCUCAUCAUGACCUGUCAGCCCAACUGUGUUCCGCUAGACGAAAAACUCCUGCCCCAGCUUUUAAAGGACGCAGGCUAUGCUACGCAUAUGGUCGGAAAAUGGCACCUGGGAAUGUACCGGAAGGAAUGCCUGCCAACCCGCAGAGGAUUCGAUACGUACUUCGGAUACCUCCUAGGCAGUGAAGACUACUACACCCACGAGGCCUGUGCACCGAUUGAGUGUCUGAACGGUACCCGCUGUGCGCUUGAUCUCCGAGAUGGCGAAGAACCUGCAAAAGAGUAUACAGAUAUUUACUCAACAAACAUAUUUACCAAAAGGGCUACAACCCUCAUAGCUAACCACCCCCCCGAGAAACCACUGUUCCUCUACCUUGCUUUCCAGUCUGUCCACGAUCCCCUGCAGGUCCCCGAGGAGUACAUGGAGCCAUAUGACUUCAUCCAAGACAAGCACAGACGUAUUUAUGCAGGGAUGGUAUCCCUCCUGGACGAAGCAGUGGGGAAUGUCACCAAAGCCUUGAAAAGCCGAGGGCUCUGGAACAACACGGUCCUCAUCUUCUCCACAGACAACGGCGGGCAGACUAGGUCUGGAGGCAACAACUGGCCACUUCGAGGAAGGAAAGGGACCCUGUGGGAAGGUGGCAUCCGAGGAGCAGGUUUCGUGGCAAGCCCCUUGCUGAAACAGAAAGGCGUGAAGAGCCGGGAGCUCAUGCACAUCACCGAUUGGCUUCCAACGCUGGUGAAUCUGGCUGGGGGAAGCACCCAUGGAACCAAACCUCUGGAUGGCUUCGACGUGUGGGAAACAAUCAGGUCCUGGCAAGAACACGACUCCAGAAAAGAACGAUUCUUUUCCUUUAGAACAUUCUGCCUUUAACACAUCUAUCCAUGCUGGGAUCAGAUACAAAAACUGGAAACUCCUCACGGGCUACCCAGGCUGUGGUUACUGGUUCCCGCCACCG